Molecule: ribosomal RNA, 308 nt
Filed under: uncultured bacterium
Lineage: Bacteria
Description: bacterial SSU rRNA
Rfam family: Bacterial small subunit ribosomal RNA
Source: RNAcentral
GACGAACGUUGGCGGCGUGCCUAAUACAUGCAAGUCAACUGAAAUACCGGUAGCAAUACUGGUAUGGAGGUGGCGCACGGGUGAGUAACACGUAGGUAAUCUGCCUUCAGGUCUGACAUAACCCAUCGAAAGGUGAGCUAAUAUCAGAUGAUGCAGCGGCUUGACAUCAAGACAGUUGUUAAAGCUUCGGCGCCUGAAGAUGAGCCUGCGUCUGAUUAGCUAGUUGGCGGGGUAACGGCCCACCAAGGCUGCGAUCAGUAGCUGGUCUGAGAGGAUGAUCAGUCACACUGGAACUGAGACACGGUCCA